GUUGGUGGCUUGAUCUAGCUUUCAGUAACUGGAAGUACUGCCAUAUCUGGGGUUGAAGUCAUAAAACUUUGCUCAAUGCUCGGAGCACAAAAAUCAUGCUCGAAACAUUAAAUCCAGCAUUUUGAUUGGUUGAUUCUUGAGUCUGAGUACAGAAAUCGUGCUCGAAAGUUUUAUGACCGCAAGGCCUGUACUUUGAGUCUGAAGUGUUCUGUGCUUUGUAUUGAUAUAAUGAGUUAAGCCAUUUUCAACUGAACUUUAUAGUACGUUCUAAUGUUGUGCUGUUUAUAUGUAGCUGCCCAAUUUUAUGGGAGGUUUGCUUUACCCAAAGUCAGGAGCCUGUAAUUCAGUUGUUGCCUUUUGUUACUGUAUAACAUAUUUUUUUUCUUUAUUCUUAAAUAAAUCAAGAUGUUAGUUUUCUUGUUAAAAUUAUUUUACAUUUGUCAUUUCUGGGCCUUUUAUAGAGUGCUACGAGGUAU
RNAcentral lists this long non-coding RNA (476 nucleotides) under Mytilus galloprovincialis (Mediterranean mussel). Lineage: Eukaryota; Metazoa; Mollusca; Bivalvia; Mytilida; Mytilidae. The record is from RNAcentral.